Molecule: ribosomal RNA, 388 nt
Filed under: Draconarius sp. CL019
Lineage: Eukaryota; Metazoa; Arthropoda; Arachnida; Araneae; Agelenidae
Description: partial 16S ribosomal RNA
Source: RNAcentral
CUCAAUGAAAAUUCAAUAGCCGCAAACAUUUGUGCUAAGGUAGCAUAAUCAUUUGUCUUUUAAUUAAAGACUAGAACAAAAGAUUUAACAUUUUUAUUUCUCUUUAAUAUUAAAAUCAUUAACUUAUUUUAAAUAUAAAAAAAUAUUUAUUUUUUAAAAAGACGAUAAGACCCUAUUGAACUUCACUAAAGUUAAACUGGGGAAGUUAAUUAAAUAUAAUUUUAAUUUAAAUUUCUAAAAAACCUAAUAAAAUUAAAACAUUAAGUUACCAUAGGGAUAACAGCGUAAUAAAUUUUACAAGAUCUUAUUAAAAAAUUCAUUUACGACCUCGAUGUUGAAUUAAUAAUCUAUUAAAUGCAAUAAUUUAAUAAGAAAGUCUGUUCGACUU